This is a non-coding RNA of Chrysemys picta bellii (western painted turtle), 4226 nucleotides long. The record is from RefSeq and is a predicted model, not a curated record. NCBI's taxonomy places the organism in Eukaryota, Metazoa, Chordata, Testudines, Emydidae.
GACACUCUACUCACUGUCCCCCCGCCCCUCAUUUCUCCAGACCUCAGAGAGGAACGGCGGAAAGCUGAGAGCUCAUUGGCGCGCGCGCCCUCACAUCGGGCGACGGUUGGUCAGAGAGCGUUGAACAUUCGGUCCCCACCCCCUAGCCGCCGAGUGGCGCGCUGCCCUAUUGGUUCACAGGUUGCGCUAAUCGCUUGCUCCUCCCCCUUCCCUUCUGCCGUUUUCCCCGCCUACCCGCCGUUUUAUUUGUAAACAUUCCCUCCCGCCUCCUGAAGUGGGCGGGUGCUAGGUCGCCCCGAGAUGAAGGGGCGACGCUGACUGACUCCUUGGGACUGCCAGUCAUUCUAGGCUGAGAGAAGGAGGGGUGUCCCCUCUGGCUCGGACCUCACAUAAUUCUGGGGGAAAGAGGGGCGCGGUAGUGGGGGAAGGGAAGAAGAGGUUACCCCCCCCCAUCGUCCCUGACUCGCCUAUCCCCGAAAAGCGGAGAUGGGUCCUGGGCCAUCGGGUCCGCCAACCCCCUAAUGGGGAAGUAGGAGAAGGAAGGGGAGGGGUAGCCCCACCCCCUGUUGCUGAGGGGAAAGAGAGAGAAGACGGUUCCAGGCCCUUGGAGGUGGGAAUACUAAUGAGAGAGACAGAGCGAGAAGGGAGCAUUGAAGCGGCUGCCCAGAGCACAGCACCGUGCGCUAGCUACUCAUUACCUUACCCCUCAGGGAGUGAGGACUCCUGGAGGAUGAAGAAAUGUUUUUUACAGGAGGCUUGAGAUCUCUUCUUCCCCUUGCAGUCAGAAGUCUAAUUCGAUUCAACAAACUCAAUAUAAGUAAUACUUCUGGAAUGGCUAAGGGCUAUAAACAGGCAAAUGUUGUGAUUUUGCAUAAAUCCCUUGCUGAUGACUUUGAAAAGUUUUGCCAUGCAAAUGAUGGACCUCUCCCGCUGCUGUACAGAAGUAAACCAGGUGAAUGGAAAUGUCCUUCUCUGAGCAGCAAUUCUGAUAUCAGAACUGAUUGCCUACAAUACAGGAUAUAUGAGUAUGGAGCUUGUACUGGCACUUCGACAAGCCUAAAGGAUUAUUUUGAUCAGCUUAAAGACAUGGUGACUUUUUACUUAGGCUGCAGCUUCUCAUUUGAAAAGGCAGCCCACAAGGUUGGUGUUCCUCUAAGGAACGUUGAGCAGAAAUGCAACGUAAGCAUGUACAAGACAGAUAUGCCUUGCUGCAGAGUUGCUAGUUUUUGCUGCAAUUUAGUGGUCACAAUGAGACCAAUUCCUGAAGACCAGUUAGAAGCAGUUGUGGAAGCUUCUUGUCCAUUGAAAGACUCACAUGGAGCACCAGUUCACAUUGGUAACCCUGGCCUAUUAGGAAUCCAAAACCUUUCCAGACCAGACUAUGGAGAUCCAGUUCAACCUCACCCUCAGGAUGUUCCAGUGUUUUGGGCCUGUGGAGUAACAGGGGUGGAAGCAGUCAACAACUGCAAGUCUCCGCUGGCUUUUACACUUUCUCCUGGGUGCAUGUUUAUUACUGCCCUGAAGAAUGAAGAUGCUCCAGUUCAUAACUCUAAAGAAAUCCCCACGGUCCACUGCAUUUCUCAAAAUCCUUUGCAUUAUAGCAUUGCAUCAGAAACAGCUGUGCAAAAGAUAAGAGAGCUAGAAAGUCUAAUUGGAGUAGAUCCAGGAGACCGGGGUGUGAAACAUUUGUGCUGCCAGGAUGAGCUGCUAAAGACUUGCCUCUCCCUUUCACAUGCCCAAUCAGUGCUGAUAACCACUGGAUUUCCUACUCACUUCAACCAUGAGCCACCUGAAGAGAAUGAUGGACCUCCAGGAGCCAUUGCUAUGGCAGCCAUGUUGCAGAGCUUGGAGAAAGAUGUUGUUAUAGUAACAGACCAGAGAGCCAUGGGUUUGAAUAAAAAGAUUAUUGAGGAUUGUGUUCAGCAAGGGGUACUGAAGACACCAGUGCCUCUAUUGAGUUAUCAGGGAGAUGCUGCAGAGUCAGCUUUGAUGUUUUUGUGUGAGAAUGGGAAUCUUGAAAGACCCAGAUUUGAUCACCUGAUAGCAAUAGAACGUGCAGGGAUGGCUGCUGAUGGCAAUUAUUACAAUGCAAGGAAAGUCAAUAUUAAGCAUCUAGUGGAUCCCAUAGAUGAACUGUUUCUAGCUGCACAUAACAUCCCUGGAGUCACAACAACAGGCAUUGGGGAUGGAGGAAAUGAACUGGGAAUGGGAAAAGUAAAAGAAGCUAUAAGGAAACACAUAAAAAAUGGAGAUGUUAUAGCUUGUGACGUUGAAGCUGAUUUUGCUAUUGUAGCCGGGGUCUCUAACUGGGGAGGCUAUGCUGUUGCUUGUGCUCUGUAUAUCCUCAACACCUGUGAAAUACAUGAUCGCUAUCUGAGGAAAGCUAUUGGGUUCCCCAGAUUGUCCAAGAAGGCAAACUGGGCAUCAGCACUUCCAUCCAUUACUAAGGAAGAAAAGUUGCUGAAAACACUUAUACAGCAUGGAGUCCGUAGUGGAGUAACUGCCAGUCUCGAAAUGGAAGUGGAUGGACUGCCCUUCUACAACAUACACUCAGUUAUAAUUGAAAAACUGCUGGAGCAGAUACCGUGAUGACUUUGCCCUAACCAUUUCUAAACUCUAAAGUUUCUAUUAGAUUCUCUCUCCACCCCAAUCUAACAACAAGACUCAUCUCAGAGCCCAAUUCUCCAAAGGUGGGAAAGACAGAAGUAGACUCUCCUCAACAUCUGAAGAUGCCCCAAUCACUCCUCCUGUUCCUGGUUUAAACACAACACAAAGACAAACAUUCACUACUCACUCUCACACCUGCAAGAGGUUCUUUCCUCUCCAAUCUCUCCAUAUCCUAAACAAAAACGUAGCCAAAAACGUAGUGCCUUCCCAAAGCAGUUAAACUUAAAAAAAAAACAAUACAAAACUAUGCAACACCAUGUCUGUGCCAAGUACUGUCUGCUGGCGAUGGUAUAGGAAACAACAUAAAAGCCUUCGCAAACUCAAACUGAAUAAUAAUCUGUAGCUAGGGUGGGUCCUUUGAUUUGAAUGACGCAUUACAGGAAAUCCCUCUACACUCCCGCCCACACCUUCAGUCGCGGGGCCAGAGGGCCUAUUCCAAAGAGCCUUCCUUAGGCACGUAUAAAGUUUGCACUCAGCCCUUCUCACACACAAGACUGAUUUCCAUGAACAGUUUCGGUAGUAGGAUGUGCCUUUGUGCACACAAUGGGUUGACUCUGUGGCACUGGAUCUCUUGAUCUCUAACUGCCUCUACCCCUACCCCUGUCACACACCGAAGACAGACUUGAAUCAUUGUCUUUUAUUGCAGGAGAUGGGCCAAGGUUUACGUUUUAGAUCAAAACUUCCCCAAAGCUUGAGGUUGUUUAUAUUUGGGACUUUGACUUUUAUCAAAACAAUGGGCUGAACCAGACAUGAAGUUCACUUCCAAGUUUAAGGUGAAAAGGGACCAUUAGAUUGUAGGAGCAGGAUUUUAUAAUUGUACUAUGAGAAUUAAUGUAUGAUUUGAUUUCAUCCUGCCAGCCACCCUUUUUGAAUAGCAGAAAGGAAUGACCCUCUGGAACUAUGGGAUUCUGUUUCCCAUAUGCAUUACAAAUUGGGCCCUUUUUAGUUCUUUGUUUUAAUGUUUAGUUCUUAAGAGACAGGAUUCUGUAUUGUGUCGAUGUUAAGUUGAUUAAAGGAACAUUAAAGGCCUGGGCCUCAAUGGGAAUUGUUUUGGUUAUAAAACUUAGCAAGGUUUAAUUUACAAUGUCUUUUUGCUCGAUAUGCAAUACUGCUGUUUGUAUUCUCAAAGGUCUCUGUAAAAGACUGUUUGUGUGAAUGAGGAAUGCAUGCAUCAGGAAAAGAUAAGGUGUGAAGGCCACUGUUAACCAGAUGGUCAAGAAAGGAGGAGCGAAGACACAUAUUGAGACUUAUUGACACCAGAGAACCAUCAACAUGCAUCCAUAAGUGAGGAAGGGCAGAUUGACGACCAUGAGGUGGAGGCUGGCACCCCUAAAGAAAAUUGAUUAAUUCAAAUCCGGGACAGGAUGAUCCUCUCGGAGGUGUUUUGGAAUGUUUACAUCAAAAGAUAACACCAAUUAAGGAGUAACCGGUCAUAAAGUGACACAGCAAAAUCCAUAGACUUCAACAGAGGAAAAAAGACUGUAAGAACAGGGUGCUUUACCAUGGGACUUUGGGUUUCUCUUGCCAGUACUCCAGGAGCAUCGGAUCACAACUGACAG